This 542-nucleotide ribosomal RNA is filed under the name uncultured bacterium. RNAcentral's name for it is "bacterial SSU rRNA". It matches the Rfam family "Bacterial small subunit ribosomal RNA", at positions 777 to 1319 of the family's 1533-position model. The record is from RNAcentral.
AAUAGAUACCCGGGUAGUCCACGCCGUAAACGAUGAGAACUAGAUGUUGGUUGGGGAACCAAUCAGGUAUCGAAGCUAACGCGAUAAGUUCUCCGCCUGGGAAGUACGGCCGCAAGGUUGAAACUCAAAUGAAUUGACGGGGGCCCACACAAGCGGUGGAGCAUGUGGUUUAAUUCGAUGCAACGCGAAGAACCUUACCUACCCUUGACAUCCUGCGAACUCUGAAGAGAUUUGGAAGUGCCGAAAGGAGCGCAGAGACAGGUGCUGCAUGGCUGUCGUCAGCUCGUGUUGUGAGAUGUUGGGUUAAGUCCCGUAACGAGCGCAACCCUUGUCCUUAGUUACCAGCAAGUAAAGUUGGGGACUCUAAGGAGACUGCCGGUGAUGAACCGGAGGAAGGCGGGGACGACGUCAAGUCAUCAUGGCCUUUAUGGGUAGGGCUACACACGUGCUACAAUGGGGCGUACAGAGGGUCGCCAACCCGCGAGGGGAGCCAAUCUCUUAAAGCGUCUCGUAGUCCGGAUUGGAGUCUGCAACUCGACUCC